Gadus morhua (Atlantic cod) is the source of this 3482-nucleotide RNA transcript. It is a transcript of the gene named fms related receptor tyrosine kinase 3, with no coding region annotated. The transcript is spliced from 24 exons. Lineage: Eukaryota; Metazoa; Chordata; Actinopteri; Gadiformes; Gadidae. The record is from RefSeq and is a predicted model, not a curated record.
CCCUCGCAGGGAUGCUGACAGCGUCAUCAUCAUGCAAAACCACUUCUGCUGUUUAAAAAGCCUUCAGUGGCGACGACAGCUCAGAAGUCAGCAAGUCACUGGUCUCUUACAGUGAAUGGGUCAUGGGAUACUGGGAACUGGUCGUGGUCCUGCUACUGUUGGAUGUUAGAGUUCAGGGCCAGAAUGCAGAAGAAGUACUUCAACUGUGCCAAAGCAAGGAGGUCCCGUUCCCCCUGGAUGGAAGUGCCUCAGAUCCCGUUGUUGUAGAAGGAUGUAUUGGCACAAGGCUAUCCUUAGUAGACCUUCCAGCAGACUCCGUCUGCUCCCUUGACAAUGGAGUGGUCGAAGUAGUGACUCUGGACAGGAGUCCUCCCAAGGUGCUGCUCCACCUGACGGGGAAUACCGCUGGGAUCUGCACAGUGAAGUGCACAUGGGGCAACGGGUCCCACGCCGCGCUGACCCUCAAUCUUACCAUCCUGAAACGUCCCUCGCCGCCCAGCUUUGAUUUCAUUAAAAAAGGUGAUUAUCGUUCGCCUGAGAUCAAGUGUGUCUCGGAUAGCAACCCCAAAGCGACCGUCAUGUGGUACACCAGCCUCCAAGCAUCCGGGAAAGAAUACUCUGAGAAUCCGAUCAAAACUUCAGAAGACGCAUUUGUCAAUAAGAAGUUAAUGUGCUGUGCUGCCAACGCCAUAGGGACAGAAUGCACUCAGCUAUACGACUAUGACAUGGACUCCGAAAGCCCGGUAGGUGUGGAGCAGCAGGAGGUGAAGGAGGUGGUGCUCAGCCCAGGCCAGUCCCUGCUGCUGCGCUGCACGUCCAAGAACAAAGCCCCGAAGUGGUUCAGCAAGGGCAGAGGACCGGAGAUCACCACCCAGUUGGAUGAACAUGGGGGAUUUCAGAUGGCCUACCUAUACUUCAGGUCAUUGACGCUAGAACAAACCGGCACAUACACUUGUCGCCCAAAAAAUAAGACCAUCUCCGUCCAAGUCCUGGCCGAAAGACUUCCAUCAGUCAGUCUGGCUCCAACCAAUAAGACCAUUUCGGCCAAAGAGGCCAUGAACUUCUGCUUGCAAGCCACCAUCUCCUCCCACCCUUUGCCUGACUACUGUGCGUGGGAAAGCCCGGACGGGAGAUGGAGGGACUGUGGAGGUCCCUCCUGGAGGAACAGGACCAGGCAGCUGUGUGACCACAUGAGAUCUGGGGAAUAUAAGUUACACCUGGAGGUGGACCGUCGGAGAUACCCCCACAAGAUGAAAUUGUGUGUGGCAGAUAAACCUCAGUUCAACUGCCAGUGGCUUCCUAACAUUUUGUGGUGUGAGACAGUGAGUCCUGUACCUACAAAUGUCUCUUGGAGGUCAUGCCAGGAGCCCAACGAUUCCAACUGUACGAUUUUCCAACAGGAGAAGGUGGAGGAGGUGCUGUUCUGUGAGACCAGGAUCAACCGCUCCCUGAUGAUCGAUAAGGUGCCUCCCAAUCACUUUGCUCAAUUCUGCCUCACCAAUGCAUUUGGAUCCUGGUGCAGUGAUGCAAAGUACAGAACUCUGCCGAGUCCAAUAGCGGAGCUCAUCGGUCACGAGAACCCAGGGUCUGAGCUCAAAAUAGGCAUUCUGGUCCUGUUGGUCGCCUUGAUAUUGAUUGGCAUGCUGUUCCUUUACAAUAUCAGAAAAAAGCCGCGGUAUGAGAGCCAACUACAGAUGAUCCAGAUAAUGGGGCCCAAUGAUAAUGAUUAUAUUUACAUCAACUUCAAGGACUUCCAGUACGACCAGAAAUGGGAGUUUCCAAGGGAGAACCUGCAACUGGGUAAAGAGCUGGGAUCCGGGGCCUUCGGCAUGGUGGUCCAGGCCACGGCAGUGGGCUUCGGCCCUCAGGGCAACUCUCAGGUGGCUGUCAAGAUGCUCAAAGAGAAACACCAGACGGUGGAGAAAGAGGCGCUGAUGUCUGAGCUGAAGAUGAUGACUCAGAUAGGUAACCAUGACAACAUAGUCAACCUGCUCGGGGCAUGCACAGGCACAGGGCCUGUGUAUCUGAUCUUUCAGUUCUGCUGGUAUGGAGAUCUGCUGAACUAUCUGAAGAACAACAGAGAGUGCUACCAUAAGUCUCUCACUGACGCCUUCAACAAGGACCGCUUCACCAGCCUCUACCACAACCUGCAGUCCAAUGGGGACUCCAGCGAAUUCCAGAUACCAGUGGAAAACUACGUGCAUAUGCACCCUACCACCACUGGGGGGCAGGAGAACCUCGCCCUCCUCAACCUCACAGAUGACGGCAUGGAUAAGGGGUCGGGGCAGCAGGCGGAGGAGCUGGAGGGGCUGACCUACAAUGACCUGCUGAGCUUCGCCCACCAGGUGGCCAUGGGCAUGGAGUUCCUGUCCGCCAAGAACUGCAUCCAUCGCGACCUGGCGGCCCGCAACGUCCUGGUGACCAAAGACCGGCUGGUGAAGAUCGGGGAUUUCGGCCUCGCCCGGGACAUCGACCACGACUCCAACUACGUGGUGCGAGGAAACGUGCGUCUGCCAGUGAAGUGGAUGGCUCCAGAGAGCAUUUUCCAGGGCAUGUACACCAUGAAGAGUGACGUCUGGGCCUACGGUAUCCUCCUGUGGGAGAUCUUUUCACUGGGGGUCACCCCGUAUCCUGGGGUGAAGGUGGACAACAAGUUCUACUCCAUGAUUGAGAGAGGCUUCCAGAUGGAGUGUCCGUACUACGCCGGGGUCUCUGUGUACAGGGUGAUGUGUAAGUGCUGGAGCCUGGAGCCCAGUGUCCGCCCUGCGUUCUCCAAGCUGGCGGCCUUCAUGGAGGCCCAGCUCACCAACAUGGAGGAGAAGGUAGUCUUGUAAUCACAGCACUCGGCCCUAUUGGGUUGUGGUUACAGUGACUCCCAGCCCAAAGCUGUAUCAUAAUACUGCAGAGGAAGGUUCCAGUGACUACAUGAAUGCGUCAGCCAUCUUUGAUAGUUCCUCCCCACUGAUGAAAGAGAAGGCAGCUCCGGGGCCGUCUUCACAAAACGACUACUGUCAGACCGCAGAGUAGAACCCAUGAGAGGGCUCCAGCACAAAGAAUUCAUAUGUCAUUAUGUGUCUUUAGUUUGUUAGAAGUCUCUUCCAGGAAGUAUCAGUUAGUCUUCUGAACUUAAAUUGCCUAAUGGUAAAGUUGAAUGUUUUUUUUUGCCAUGAUUAAAGUAUGGUUGUGCAUUAUUUGUGGUUGCCAUCGUGAUAACAUUGAUUUAUAUUGUAUUGUCCCUAUCAGAUACUUCCCGGCUUUCUGCAGCUAUAGGAAGUCCAACCGCUAAUUCUAGAUUUUUUUUAUUUUGUUCUGCUGGGUCUCUGUCAUAUAGCUCCCACACUUUGCUUUUUCUCUGAAAUGUGAUUUGAUAGCUGCACAUUAUGGAAGAUAUUUCUCAAAGCAAACAAUUCCGUAACUUCCAAUAUUUGUAUUCCAUUUAACCUGUGUUUUUUUUACUGAAAUAAAGGUUGUUUGUUCGAAUA